This is a long non-coding RNA of Octopus sinensis (East Asian common octopus), 190 nucleotides long. RefSeq lists it as uncharacterized. The transcript has 3 exons. The record is from RefSeq and is a predicted model, not a curated record. NCBI's taxonomy places the organism in Eukaryota, Metazoa, Mollusca, Cephalopoda, Octopoda, Octopodidae.
AUGCAUAUGGCUCGUAUUAUCGACAUGAAUUCAUUGAAUUCCAUGUCAGUGUCUUGCAUGGACAGACUUUUAAGCCAGUUUUGCUGGAGUAUCUCUUUGUUGAUGGACUUCUAGUCAGCCUUGUAGAAGUUCAGGUUGGCUACCACUUGGGGGAGAAAGUGUGAGUGAAAGGAGAGGAAGAGAGAGAGAG